CUCUAACAGCAUGGCUAAAGCCACCCUUAUUUGAUCAUCUGCAACGCUCUUCACUGUCAAUCUGAUCUCUGUAUUUAUUACCAAAUGUACACUCUUUAGCACAAUAUCAACACCUUAACACACAAUCAAGGACUUUUCAUUUUUCUUUAAUUUUUUUUUUUUUGGGUUCGAGGGGUUGUUGGUUUUGAUCGGCAAAAACAACUUAUUUGAACCUAAAAAACAAGCCCCAGUUCAAUUUUAGCCAUAUUUAGCUUAAAUUUAAUUAGAAGUUUCAAUCUUUACGCACAUAUCUAAUGAUCACAGACACGUAUUCAAAGAUUUUGCCUGAUAUAUCGAUGCGAUCAAUGCUCAAAAAUGAAGAUUUGGGCAAACUGAUUAGAGAGCAAAGGCUACAACAAGAGGCAGCGAGUGACAGAGAGAAGGAGCUCAAUAUUUAUCGGAGCGGGUCUGCCCCGCCUACUGUAGAAGGGUCUUUAAGCUCGAUUGGGGGCUUGUUUGAUGCUACUGCGUUACCUGGUAUCAAGAAGAGCAACAAAGGCGGGUUCUUGAGCGAGGAGGAGAUAAGGUCUGAUCCAGC
This 577-nucleotide unclassified non-coding RNA is filed under the name Hevea brasiliensis (rubber tree). The record is from RNAcentral. Lineage: Eukaryota; Viridiplantae; Streptophyta; Magnoliopsida; Malpighiales; Euphorbiaceae.